RNAcentral lists this ribosomal RNA (459 nucleotides) under uncultured bacterium. RNAcentral describes it as "partial 16S ribosomal RNA". It matches the Rfam family "Bacterial small subunit ribosomal RNA", at positions 338 to 795 of the family's 1533-position model. The record is from RNAcentral.
CCUACGGGAGGCAGCAGUGAGGAAUAUUGGUCAAUGGGCGGGAGCCUGAACCAGCCAAGCCGCGUGAGGGAAGAAGGUACAGCGUAUCGUAAACCUCUUUUGUCAGGGAACAAAGGCGGGGACUAGUCCCCGGAUGAGGGUACCUGAAGAAAAAGCAUCGGCUAACUCCGUGCCAGCAGCCGCGGUAAUACGGAGGAUGCGAGCGUUCUCCGGAUUUAUUGGGUUUAAAGGGUGCGCAGGCGGCCUGUUAAGUCAGCGGUAAAAGCCCGGGGCUCAACCCCGGCGAGCCGUUGAAACUGGCGGGCGGGAGUUGGAGAGAAGUACGCGGAAUGCGCGGUGUAGCGGGGAAAUGCUUAGAUAUCGCGCAGAACCCAGAUUGCGAAGGCAGCAUGCCGGCUUCCUACUGACGCUGAAGCACGAAAGCGUGGGGAUCGAACAGGAUGAGAUACCCGAGUAGUC